Molecule: ribosomal RNA, 468 nt
Filed under: uncultured bacterium
Lineage: Bacteria
Description: partial 16S ribosomal RNA
Rfam family: Bacterial small subunit ribosomal RNA
Source: RNAcentral
GACGAACGCUGGCGGCGUGCUUAACACAUGCAAGUCGAACGGAAAGGCCCUGCUUUUGUGGGGUGCUCGAGUGGCGAACGAGUGAGUAACACGUGAGUAACCUGCCCUUGACUUUGGGAUAACUUCAGGAAACUGGGGCUAAUACCGGAUAGGAGCUCCUGCUGCAUGGUGGGGGUUGGAAAGUUUCGGCGGUUGGGGAUGGACUCGCGGCUUAUCAGCUUGUUGGUGGGGUAGUGGCUUACCAAGGCUUUGACGGGUAGCCGGCCUGAGAGGGUGACCGGCCACAUUGGGACUGAGAUACGGCCCAGACUCCUACGGGAGGCAGCAGUGGGGAAUAUUGCACAAUGGGGGGAAGCCUGAUGCAGCAACGCCGCGUGCGGGAUGACGGCCUUCGGGUUGUAAACCGCUUUCGCCUGUGACGAAGCGUGAGUGACGGUAAUGGGUAAAGAAGCACCGGCUAACUACGUG